GGGGUAGAGAGAGGUAGAGGUGAAGUAGAGGUAGAGGUGAAGUAGAGGUAGAGGUGAAGUAGAGGUAGAGACAGGACAGAGAGAGGUAGAGGUGGGCAGAGAGAGAGGUAGAGGUGAAGUAGAGGUAGAGGUAGAGGUGGGAUAGAGGUAGAGAGAGAGAGGUGGGGCAGAGAGAGGUAGAGGUGAAGUAGAGGUAGAGGUGGGGGAGAGAGGUAGAGGUGAAGUAGAGGUAGAGGUGGGGCAGAGAGAGGUAGAGGUAAAGUAGAGGUAGGGGUGGGGUAGAGAGAGGUAGAGGAGAAGUAGAGGUAGAGGUGAAGUAGAGGUAGAGGUGGGAUAGAGGUAGAGAGAAAGAGGUGGGG
Oncorhynchus tshawytscha (Chinook salmon) is the source of this 359-nucleotide long non-coding RNA. Lineage: Eukaryota; Metazoa; Chordata; Actinopteri; Salmoniformes; Salmonidae. The record is from Ensembl.